CACACAACAAUCUUUGAGCUCCUUCCCUACCUGUUGCGCCCCAUCUUCCUCUCUUGGCGGCAUCCGGUUAUGCAUCUGGGCUGCAGCUCAGCUCAAGUAGUUGACGGGGGCGGAGUGGCCUCGGCAGCGGCGUGGAGUGGAUUCGACGGUGAUGAUCUGCUUCCAAGCCAAGUCUGAUGCCGUGCACGGCCGCCUCCUGGUUCUCUUCCGCACGCAGCCAAGGCCACGACAGCGAGCCUCGACCUUGCGUGGCCCAUGAGAAGCAGGCGCAAGGCCGGUUCAGGGUGACGGCUAGGGUGCGUGCAUGGUGGUGCUAAUUCUGUGCUCGCAUCACAUGAUGGCGGUGAUUUGCCAAAUUGGGUUUUGAAAUCAUGCGACGUGCGGCCGAAGAUAGAAACCGGUGAGAAUGAUUCUGGUGGCUGGAGUUUUGCUUUAUUUGGAUUUGGGAUCUAAUUCGAGGAAAAUUUGGAAUUUAGGGUUUGUGCAAAUUGGGUAUUUUUCCUAGAACCAAUUUUUGUAUUUUUAUAUGUUGUAUAUAUGCAAGUUGUCCUAGUGUAACACGAACCGGUUUAAAUUUAGCCCAAUUUAUGUAAAAUCCUGAUCGG
This 605-nucleotide small RNA is filed under the name Oryza sativa Japonica Group (Japanese rice). RNAcentral's name for it is "sRNA Os12g0146275". The record is from RNAcentral. Lineage: Eukaryota; Viridiplantae; Streptophyta; Magnoliopsida; Poales; Poaceae.